This 427-nucleotide ribosomal RNA is filed under the name uncultured bacterium. RNAcentral describes it as "partial 16S ribosomal RNA". It matches the Rfam family "Bacterial small subunit ribosomal RNA", at positions 355 to 774 of the family's 1533-position model. The record is from RNAcentral.
UGGGGAAUAUUGGACAAUGGGCGAAAGCCUGAUCCAGCCAUGCCGCGUGUGUGAAGAAGGUCUUCGGAUUGUAAAGCACUUUAAGUUGGGAGGAAGGGCAUUAACCUAAUACGUUAGUGUUUUGACGUUACCGACAGAAUAAGCACCGGCUAACUCUGUGCCAGCAGCCGCGGUAAUACAGAGGGUGCAAGCGUUAAUCGGAAUUACUGGGCGUAAAGCGCGCGUAGGUGGUUUGUUAAGUUGGAUGUGAAAUCCCCGGGCUCAACCUGGGAACUGCAUUCAAAACUGACUGACUAGAGUAUGGUAGAGGGUGGUGGAAUUUCCUGUGUAGCGGUGAAAUGCGUAGAUAUAGAAAGGAACACCAGUGGCGAAGGCGACCACCUGGACUAAUACUGACACUGAGGUGCGAAAGCGUGGGGAGCAAACA